AUAUAUGCAUAUAUACACACACAUAUAUAUAUGUGUGUGUGUGUGUGUGUGUAUAU
RNAcentral lists this microRNA precursor (56 nucleotides) under Podarcis lilfordi (Lilford's wall lizard). Lineage: Eukaryota; Metazoa; Chordata; Lepidosauria; Squamata; Lacertidae. The record is from RNAcentral.